RNAcentral lists this small RNA (134 nucleotides) under Legionella longbeachae D-4968. RNAcentral describes it as "RsmZ". The record is from RNAcentral. Lineage: Bacteria; Pseudomonadati; Pseudomonadota; Gammaproteobacteria; Legionellales; Legionellaceae.
GGCUUAUACGGAUGUAAGUCAAACAAAAGGAAUUGUAAUCAUACGGAUGUGGUUUUGUCAGGAUGACAGUAAGAACUUUUAGUUCUUAUACGGAUGACUGCAGAAGCCAGGGUGGGAACCCUGGCUUUUUUAUU